AAUAGAUACCCCGGUAGUCCACGCCGUAAACGAUGAGUGCUAAGUGUUAGAGGGUUUCCGCCCUUUAGUGCUGCAGCUAACGCAUUAAGCACUCCGCCUGGGGAGUACGGCCGCAAGGCUGAAACUCAAAGGAAUUGACGGGGGCCCGCACAAGCGGUGGAGCAUGUGGUUUAAUUCGAAGCAACGCGAAGAACCUUACCAGAUCUUGACAUCCUCUGCCAACCCUAGAGAUAGGGCGUUCCCCUUCGGGGGACAGAGUGACAGGUGGUGCAUGGUUGUCGUCAGCUCGUGUCGUGAGAUGUUGGGUUAAGUCCCGCAACGAGCGCAACCCUUGAUCUUAGUUGCCAGCAUUCAGUUGGGCACUCUAAGGUGACUGCCGGUGACAAACCGGAGGAAGGUGGGGAUGACGUCAAAUCAUCAUGCCCCUUAUGACCUGGGCUACACACGUGCUACAAUGGAUGGUACAAAGAGCUGCGAACCCGCGAGGGUAAGCCAAUCUCAUAAAGCCAUUCUCAGUUCGGAUUGUAGG
RNAcentral lists this ribosomal RNA (529 nucleotides) under uncultured bacterium. RNAcentral's name for it is "bacterial SSU rRNA". It matches the Rfam family "Bacterial small subunit ribosomal RNA", at positions 777 to 1304 of the family's 1533-position model. The record is from RNAcentral.